Small nucleolar RNA from Cololabis saira (Pacific saury), 133 nucleotides. NCBI's taxonomy places the organism in Eukaryota, Metazoa, Chordata, Actinopteri, Beloniformes, Belonidae. The record is from RefSeq and is a predicted model, not a curated record.
CCCGAGGCCUAUCCCAACGGUCCUUUUUCAGUAGGGACAUGUUGUUGGAAAUGCCUCGGAUACUAAAUCUGCAGUUCGCUUUACCCUCAUGUUCGUUGCCGUGAGCCUGCUGGGAUAUAACUGCAGGACAAAA